AGGAAAUGAAGACAAUUUACACUGCGGUCUUGGAGGCUCACCGCUAGGGGCAGAGUGGGUUGUACUCGCCAGGUUAAAACAACUCCCAGACAACCUAUUCACGUGAGAGCUCAAAGCAGCCAUAAUUUUCUGCACUCAAAAUCUUUCCGGUAAGGUUCUCCGCGUAUUGUCUCCUUGGUAAUUGGAAAACAUGGGACUGGGAGUGCAAUUGCAGGGCAUCUCCAGUCCUCCAGGAUACGAUCUGGCUGCUACAGAAGAGGACCAGGAGGAAGCUCUGCUCAGAAAAAGGAUAGAAAGGCAGCAUGGAAACCCUGCUUCAAGGAAACACGAGAUUCACUAUGCUCUUGGCGAACCUCCCGCGAAAAGAGACUUCUAGGGAGGAAGGAUCCCCAGAGAGGCUCCCUGACCACUGCAAGCACUUCUCAAAGGGCUUGAAGGAGCUCAACGAAAAAACCCCAUUGCUGCCCAAGACUUCUGAGAGCCAAACUGGUAGAUUUGUGCAACCUGCAGUGAAAUUGUCCACACUAUACGCAAAGAUUAAACUCUGUGUCUUUAUAAGCAGGCAGAAAGGAUUCCAGCUUCCUUAGGUGUUCGCUGAUUGGGAUCCAGAAGCCCGCAACAAAUGGAUUCGCUUCCUCCUUUGUGCUUUCUCCUCCAGGGAGGAAGGAUCCCCAGAGAGGCUCCCUGACCACUGCAAGCACUUCUCAAAGGGCUUGAAGGAGCUCAACGAAAAAACCCCAUUGCUGCCCAAGACUUCUGAGAGCCAAACUGGUAGAUUUGUGCAACCUGCAGUGAAAUUGUCCACACCGAUACGCAAAGGUUAAACUCUGUGCCUUUAUAAGCAGGCAGAAAGGAUUCCAGUUUCCUUAGGUGUUCGCUGAUUGGGAUCCGGAAGACCACAGCAAAUGGAUUCGCUUCCUCCUUUGUGCUUUCUCCUCCAGGGCGGAGGGAGAGAACCUGGAAGAAGCCUAUCUUGGCAUUCUUGAUGCUACACUGCCAUCCAGCGGAAUUACUUUGCUGUACUGCCACCACCUCUAUGAAGCUUUUUCUCAGUCUGUCUGAAAGUGAGAUGUGAGUGCCCAGGCCUUCUGGUUCAAAUAUUGAAUCAGCAACCAAUGAACAAAUGAAGGUACGUCCAGCCAACUGACCUGUUCUGGGGUUAGACAGGGUUUGUUUUUGGAGUAAUAAAUUCAGCUACUCGGGAAUUUGGCUCCAGCUGCAGAUGUAGCAGAGGAGAUGGCUUUGCUUGGCAUCAAUAGGAGGAGAUGCCCUUGGUCCUAUAAAGGCUAAAUACCCCAGUGUAGGGGAAUACCAGAGAUUUGAGGUGAAAGUGGGUACAUCCUCAUAGAACCAGGUAGAUGAGGGAGGGGAAUGGGAGGGGGGAAUAACAUUUGAAAUGUAAAUACAUAAUAUAUUCAAUUAAAAAAAACCAGUAGGAUUAAUUCAGAAAGACUGGUGGUCAGAAAAACUCAACCACAUUGUAGUCUCCUGGCAAAGAGAAACCCCAGGGUCAAGGUCAAAAUGACUCCUCCACCAUGUGGUGACUAUUUUAAGUAGGAAGCUGACCUGUUCAACCAGAGGAAUCAUGGGUAGAAUAAGUCCCAACUUUGACAGGUGGCAGAAAUGGAGCUAUAUUCUCCUAGACUUCAGAGUAAGCUAGCUGUGUGUUCCUGUGUUUUACACUUGCAUCUCAAGAUGUCCUCUGCAGAGGAAGCAAGGUCAUAGAGUAUCCAGAAUCCAUGGCAAAGUCUCUUGCCUCUAGUAGGUUGGAAGACAUUACUAAACUCAGACACAGGAACAUGGUUAGUCUACAGUGUAAGUCUUUUAGAGACUCAACCUCUGCAUAGAAUAGAUGGGUACACCUGACAGGCAGUGCUCAGAUCACUGAGCAGUGACAUUCUGUUCCGUUGGGAGGUGCAAGUCUUUGUUUUCGAUGCUCUGCCCAAGACCCUUCCCUUGAAAGUGUGUGAAAGGUGCCAGGUCCAGUCUUUAGGUAUGUCUUGCCUUGGGCCAGUGAGAACUUGUAGCAAGACAGUCAGGCACAAGAGCUUCAUCCAUAUCUCCAUAAUGAAAUUUGCUCUACCUCAGAAGCUCCCUCUUGUGUAUCUUAAGGCCUUCUUUCUCAGGGAAAUUACAUGCUUCACAAUAGUCACAAAUAUUAUAAAAUACCCUGGGGUAACUCUAACCAAACGAGUGAAGGUUCUGUAUAUAACAACUUCAAGUCUCUAAAUAAAUAAAUAAAUAAAUAGGAAGAAGAGCUCAGAAAAUGGAGAGAUAUCCCACAAUUAUGAACUAGUAGGCUAAACCUAGUAAAAUGGCCAUCUUAACAAAAUCAGUUUACAGAUUAAAUGCAAUCCCCAUCAAAAUCCCAACACAAUUCAUUAAAAACAUGGAAAAAGCAAUUCUCAAUUUCAUGCUGCACAUGAUUUUUAAAAACCAAGAUCCACAUACAAGUAGUACUAUUUCCCUGUGAGAAAAUGAAAUACGGGCAAAUAUCUUUUCUGGCAGAGGCUGAGUAGGAUAGUGGAAAGUAUUGUUUAUAGACAACGAGAUCAUAAUAUUUUCCAGGAACGGUCAAAGAGAUGGAAUACAGCCAGAACUGAGGAGCUAGUGGGUUGGUAGCAGCUGGGAUAGGCUAACAGUUCUUUGAAAUUUACUAGUUCCCAGUUAGGUUCAAUGGGAGCCUACUGUUUCAUUAGAGUCUGAAAUUGCCUCAACACAAAAUCUCAUGUGAGCAGCCAGUACUGGUGCAUACCUUUAAUCACAGCACAUAGGAGGCAGAGUUAUGCAGAUUUCUUGGAGUUCAAGGUCAGCCUGGUCAACAACACAAGUUUCAGGAGAGCCUGACCUGCUACAGAGAGAAACUCUGUCUCGGAAAACAAAAGGUUGGGGCAAAACAGCUCAUGUGAGCUAUGCAAGAUGGCUGACAGACACAACUGAGUACACAGACAGGGUCCUAGAAUUCUUAGGCUAGGGUCUCAGGGAAAGAAAACCAAAGGGUUCUGAUGACAGUUGUCCUUUCUCCUCUUUCUCCUCUGGUUCUCUUCCAUGGUCUGAGGAACUGGGGCUGUGAAAAUAGAAACAAUCCCUAUGUAUUCUCUACUCUGCACAAGCUGGAGUCUCCUCAUCCUUGGCCAUGUGUGGCUGGCACGUAGACUUGCAGACUGGAGAUGCCCUGGAAUUGAACUCACUGCCCCAUGUUUGCAGAACAGUUAAGAAAAAACAUACCUGGAGAACCUUACUAGGAAGAUUUUGAGGGCUGAAAGUUAUGGCUGCUUUGAGCUCUCAAGGGAACUGAUGCCUGGGAUCCUAAGGAUCUGAAUACAUGGAGAAGGACAAAGAAAUUUCCAAUCUGAGGUCUUUGGAUCCUUAAGCCAAUAGAACAGAAUAGAGAGGAGAGCUGCUAACCAAACACUUCGGUCUUCUUGUCUAAAGAUCUCAACUUAUGGAGUCCAUGACCCUGGAUUUGCAUGGGUGGAUGUUCUGGGCCAUUGCUACAUCAUGGAUGUUUUCCCGGCCUGUGGGUUGUGUGGGGACCUGAUUUGAUGCUGAACCACGGAUUCCAAGUCCAAGACAAAGAGAGCUCUCCCAGCAAAACUCCUGAAGUACAGCAGAAGAAUAAAGGGAAUAAAAAGGAAGCCAAAAGACAGAAAAUACAGAAAGGAAGGGAAGAAAAAAAGCAGAGACAACAGGCUGAGUAUCUAAGAGUGGAAGGAGGGAAGGAAUGAAAAAGAGGGAGUAAUGGAAGUGAGAGUAGGGUAGAGAGUAUGAUGAAUUGAAAGGACUGACAUAUUUUUGACCUCUAGAUGGCAUUUCUCGAGACCCUGAAGCUCAUGAACAAAGUCCAGAAUCUCAUGGGCACUGGCUGAUUCCAAGAAAUGAGAUAUAUAUGCAGAAAGGUAUCUAAAAAACAGGUCAGAGGCAAUUGGGGGAGAUUCCUAACCUUGAUCAGCAAGUUACCCACAUAUCUGUGCCCCAGUUGAUGAAUCCGAAAUAGUGUUCCUCAUCACUGUGCAAACAUGGCCGCCUCGAGAUCACAAAGCCCAUAUUCGCAAGUAGCUGAAUUUAUUACUCAGAGAAGCAAGCUGGCUAACCGCAGAACCUGCCAGUUGGCUCAAGCUACCUUCACUUUAAUAUUUGAACCAGAAGCUGAAGCACUCCUCACCCACUACCAGACUUGCCAAGGAAAAGCUUAUGGAGGUGUUGAUAAGAACAGCAAAGCAAUUCCACUGGAUGGCAGUGUAGUAUCAAGAAUGUGAAGAUACCCUUCUUACAGGUUCUCUCCCUCCGCCCUUCUUGGAGUGAAAAAAAAAAAAAAAACUGAAACAGUUCAACAUAACACUUGACUCUGAUAUAUGUUAGAUAGAAAUUGGUUCCUUAUGUCUACAGUACCUAUUAUCACUGAUCUGACCUGGGUGGUCUCUGUUUCAGUGUAUUAAGAUAUUCUCCCACAAGGACAGGGACCAUCCUCAAGGCAUAAGGGCCAAACAGGAAAACCCAAUGAGGAUCCCUUCCCCUGGAUGCAAGGGUCAGGAGAAGCCAUAGAAACAAACUUCUAGCCAGAGACUUAGUCUGGGGCACAGUACAGCACCAUCAGUUCAGCACUCGAGUUCGCACUAAAUUCGGAACUGCAAAGCUAGAAAGAAGAGUCAGAAGACGCAAUACAUAUAAAUUCUUCAGAAGAAACGGGACCUUGGGCUGAGUACAAGUCCCUCCUGUGCUACCAAGAUAUAUCUAUUCUUCAGUCCUUUGCCCCCAGACAUUUUGAGAGAAAACACACUGAAUUAUUGGUGGGAACAUUAAGAACAGAUCACUUGCUGACAGUAUUGAACCAAGAAGCCAAGGUACCCAUCUUUCAGGUUCUCUCCCUCCACCCUUCUUUGAUAAACAACAACAACAACAACACCACACACACACACACACACACACACACACACACACACACACACACACACACAUUUUGCCAAUAAAUCCCAAGUUGACUGACCUUAAUCAUGGCCUCCUUUGGCCAGAGAUGGGCUUUGGAGCUUCACUGUAUACAUACUGUCUCGGAGGUCACAGGCCACACAAGUUCCUCAUUCCCAGUCCAACACAAGAACGUGGCAUGCCCUCAGAAACAUACAGGAAAACUAAGAGCAAUGGUCAAAAGAAGGUCUACAAAUACAUUCUUAGGCAGAAACUUGACCUUGGGCAACAUAUGACUCACUCACAUCUUUCCAGAAAUAAUCUGACUGGCCCAUAUGUACAUAACUUAUAACUGGAAUUUUGUCAGUGAGUGCCAAGGUAAACCAUAGAGUGUUCAGUCCUCCCACGGGGAAGAAGAGAUUGUAUAGCCAUUCGACAACCAAGCUUCUAGUUCAAGGCUACCUGAUUCUUCUCCCUACACAUACAUACCAGGCUCCUGACAGGAAAAGUUGGAAGGACAAAUAAGGAAGACAGUUGGAACAAUAGAGACAACCAGCUAUUCAAACAGAGUCAAGGGCCAGUGAUACAUUCAAACCUAGAAGAAGGAGAUGCCAGGUUGUAGUGAAGAAGAAAAAAAAAAAAAAAAACCACACACAAACACACAGAUGCUUUCCUUUUUGAGUGCCCUAGUUCCUUUUUUACAAACCAGAGUCAAAAUAAAAACUACAACUGUCACCCAAA
RNAcentral lists this small RNA (5646 nucleotides) under Rattus norvegicus (Norway rat). Its description in RNAcentral is "uncharacterized LOC100911253". Lineage: Eukaryota; Metazoa; Chordata; Mammalia; Rodentia; Muridae. The record is from RNAcentral.